GGACGAACGCUGGCGGCGUGCCUAACACAUGCAAGUCGAGCGAGGAGAUUCCUCGGGAUGAUCCUAGCGGCGGACGGGUGAGUAACACGUGGGCAACCUGCCUCAUAGAGAGGAAUAGCCUUCCGAAAGGGAGAUUAAUACCUCAUAACAUUGCAGUUUCGCAUGGAACAGCAAUUAAAGGAGCAAUCCGCUAUGAGAUGGGCCCGCGGCGCAUUAGCUAGUUGGUGAGGUAACGGCUCACCAAGGCGACGAUGCGUAGCCGACCUGAGAGGGUGAUCGGCCACAUUGGGACUGAGACACGGCCCAGACUCCUACGGGAGGCAGCAGUGGGGAAUAUUGCACAAUGGGGGAAACCCUGAUGCCAGCAACGCCGCGUGAGUGGUGACGGCCUUCGGGUUGUAAAGCUCUGUCUUCAGGGACGAUAAUGACGGUACCUGAGGAGGAAGCCACGGCUAACUACGUGCCAGCCGCUGC
This 474-nucleotide ribosomal RNA is filed under the name uncultured bacterium. Its description in RNAcentral is "bacterial SSU rRNA". It matches the Rfam family "Bacterial small subunit ribosomal RNA", at positions 27 to 518 of the family's 1533-position model. The record is from RNAcentral.